ACCGGCGCACGGGUGAGUAACACGUAUGCAACCUGCCCCUGUCAGGGGGACAACCCGCCGAAAGGCGGGCUAAACCCGCGUACAUGCCACCGGGGCAUCCCGGAGGCAGGAAAGGCUUCGGCCGGACAGGGAUGGGCAUGCGGCGCAUUAGGCAGUAGGCGGGGUAACGGCCCACCUAACCGACGAUGCGUAGGGGUUCUGAGAGGAAGGUCCCCCACACUGGUACUGAGACACGGACCAGACUCCUACGGGAGGCAGCAGUGAGGAAUAUUGGUCAAUGGUCGGGAGACUGAACCAGCCAAGUCGCGUGAGGGAAGACGGUCCUAUGGAUUGUAAACCUCUUUUGUCGGGGAGCAAAAGACGCCACGCGUGGCGUUCCGAGAGUACCCGAAGAAAAAGCAUCGGCUAACUCCGUGCCAGCAGCCGCGGUAAUACGGAGGAUGCGAGCGUUAUCCGGAUUUAUUGGGUUUAAAGGGUGCGCAGGCGGAAGAUCAAGUCAGCGGUAAAAUUGAGAGGCUCAACCUCUUCGAGCCGUUGAAACUGGUUUUCUUGAGUGAGCGAGAAGUAUGCGGAAUGCGUGGUGUAGCGGUGAAAUGCAUAGAUAUCACGCAGAACUCCGAUUGCGAAGGCAGCAUACCGGCGCUCAACUGACGCUCAUGCACGAAAGUGUGGGUAUCGAACAGGAUUAGAUACCCUGGUAGUCCACACAGUAAACGAUGAAUACUA
Molecule: ribosomal RNA, 726 nt
Filed under: uncultured bacterium
Lineage: Bacteria
Description: bacterial SSU rRNA
Rfam family: Bacterial small subunit ribosomal RNA
Source: RNAcentral